AGAGUUUGAUCCUGGCUCAGGAUGAACGCUAGCGGCAGGCUUAACACAUGCAAGUCGAGGGGUAACAUUGAUUGCUUGCAAUCAGAUGACGACCGGCGCACGGGUGCGUAACGCGUAUACAAUUUACCUUUUACAGGAGAAUAGCCCAGAGAAAUUUGGAUUAAUGCUCCAUGGUAUUAUAGGGUCACCUGAUUUUAUAAUUAAAGAUUUAUCGGUAGAAGAUGAGUAUGCGUCCUAUUAGCUAGUUGGUACGGUAACGGCGUACCAAGGCGACGAUAGGUAGGGGUCCUGAGAGGGAGAUCCCCCACACUGGUACUGAGACACGGACCAGACUCCUACGGGAGGCAGCAGUGAGGAAUAUUGGGCAAUGGAGGCAACUCUGACCCAGCCAUGCCGCGUGCAGGAAGACUGCCCUAUGGGUUGUAAACUGCUUUUAUACAGGAAGAAACCUUUCCACGUGUGGAGAGCUGACGGUACUGUAAGAAUAAGCACCGGCUAACUCCGU
RNAcentral lists this ribosomal RNA (505 nucleotides) under uncultured bacterium. RNAcentral describes it as "bacterial SSU rRNA". It matches the Rfam family "Bacterial small subunit ribosomal RNA", at positions 8 to 506 of the family's 1533-position model. The record is from RNAcentral.